RNAcentral lists this unclassified non-coding RNA (2863 nucleotides) under Hevea brasiliensis (rubber tree). The record is from RNAcentral. Lineage: Eukaryota; Viridiplantae; Streptophyta; Magnoliopsida; Malpighiales; Euphorbiaceae.
AAGAUAAAUCACAAUUUUCUUUAAUAAUUUCAAUGAUAAUAGUUUUGAUAAAUUCAAGAUAUUUAUUACAAUUUUAUCCGAUUGAAAUGGGGUGGUAGAGCUUUGAAAUGGAUUAAGAAAUAGAAAGAUUGAUGGCUGAGGCGCUCAAUGUGAUCAAAUUGAAGUACAUAAGCUCAAUAGCAAAGAAGCUAACAGAAGAGGGCCCAGGAUAUGUUUUGCUGGUUCUUUCUCCUCAUCAUUCUCAAAAUGUUCAUCUUUCAUCAUCGUUAAUCCCUAUCUUAAUCCAAUGAAAGCUAGAUAAUGUUCGAAUAUUUACAAGUAUGAAUACACACUGAACUUAUUUUGGCUGAUGAGUUGAGAUAUUAUUACAAGUUUGCAUAGUACCUGGGACUUAGGAGGACUUUUUGUGUAACAAUGUGUCAGAGAUGACUUACGGCUCAAAGUCUGGCUUCAAAUAAUGAGCAAGCACAUCAGCAUAUAACUUGUAACGAGCAGUCAUUCGAAAUCCCCAUUUGUCUUUCAACUGUCUACACAGGUUUAGGUCCAUCUCUGAGAUCAGUAGUCCAUCCUUGUAACGAGAGAGAGAGGGUCUACAAGAAGCAUCUGGUGCUGAAAAAUGACUAGAUCCAUAGAGAUGCCCAAAAUCUGUAUGUUGUGGCUUCCCAUCACCCGAAGUGAAUGGAUUGGGGAAAUUCUCAGUCCCAACACGAUUGAUAGACCCAAGAAGUAACUGUUGGCUAUUGCAGCAUUACAAGCCUGUAAAACCACGUCAAUUGAUAUUGUCGAAAGCAAUUUAUCCUUUUUAACAUAACUAAUUUAGCAUGACAAAUUGUUAACUGCAUAAUAUCUAUUAGAAUAUCACCUAAAUAUUAAGAUAUAUGAACAUAAUACAGCAUUAAAUAAAUCAUGGCAUUUAUUACAUGAACUGAGAAUCCUCAAAGCUGAACCAUAUUACAGUGAAGUUUUAUCCCUAUGCAAAGACUUGAUGAUGCUAACUUUUCUUGUUACCUAGUAUGGGACUAAGUGAAUUGGAAGUAUGGUCCAUCAAGCAAGUUAAUGGAAAUUGCAAAUGAGUGGAACUUAACCUCAAUGGGCCACAUUGGUCCACUGAGUUCACCAACGGUGACAGAAGGAUUAAAAACAAUCUCAGCACCAUUCAAGCCAAAUGCUAACCAAUUCAAUGGAUGGUGCCUCCCAUAGCAUAUAUUCACAGCAAUCUUUCAGUAAGCUGUCUCAAACACAGGAUGUGCAGAAUUUCCUCCCACAUAAUAUGUGCUUUCAUUGAAGUCACCAACUCUAGGUAUAUGGUUCUGCCAAAUGCAAUUUAGAUAGUGUGCUCAACAAAACUAGUCUUGAAAAAUAUCUAGUAGAGACAAAGUAAACUUGUAUUUACCUUUUGAUGCUUGCUAAUUAUGUUCCCUUGAUUCCCAAUUAUAAUAGCAGUAUUCCAGAGGGUCUCUCCAUGAUUUAAAUCUCUCUCAAGAAUUGGACUUAUGACAACCAUGUUCUAUUUUCUUGCAUAUUCCUGAAGAAAUUGUGUUGAUUCCCCAUCCACAGGCUCUACAAAUUCAUACCACCUCUUCUCCUUAGCACAGAAUGCAAAUGGCACCAUCCAUGCUUCUAUUUUCAAACAUAAUAUGUUCACUCUUGAAGAACCUGCAGCAUCAAUAAUUGGCUUCAAUUUCUGGAAAAUAGCCCUCUUUUGAUCCAAAAAAGGGGCAGUUGUUGGAAGAGCUAUGGAGUUCUGAAUAAGACCCACCCGAACUACUCAAGGUUGUCUUAAUAACUCUUUGUUGGCACCAAAGCAAAAAGCCAUGAGAAUUGCCUUAAUAUGAUCUUCUGAGAAUUGAAUUGUUCCAGAUUCAGUUUGAAAUCUCUCCAAACGUAGCAAAACGUCGAUAAUAUCUUCCUGUCCAGGCUCUUUGGUUCCCUUUUGGAUGUGAUCAUCUAUAACCUUUUGGUAGAAAACAUCAAAUUCUUGAAAGUUUCUUUCAAGCCUAGCAUGGAGGCCUGUGAGUCUAUCAACAAUCCAACCCACGUAAGGAAAGAAGUCAGCUGCAGAGAAGCUCCCAAGCAUGGCCAAGCCUUCAUGAAUCACUUCUUGGAAUCUUUCAUGGCUUAACCCUCUCUCUUGAAAACCCUUCCCAAAAGCUACUCUACAAGUUAUGUUCGCAGUGAGAGAGAGUGUCUUCUCACUGAGAUCAACAGGAGUGGCAGAGGAAGAAGAUUUGGAGAUGGAAUCGAUAAGCAAAUCAAUCUCUUCUUCUCUAACGAAUUGAAAUGACUGCACUCUCUUGGCACUGAACAGCUCAAGAACACAAAUCUUUCGCAUUUCUCUCCAGUAAUCUCCAUAGGGAGUGAAUGCUACAUCAAGAUAAUUGUAGGAUAGCUUUCCAGUACCAGCCAGGAGAGGUCUACUGCAAGUAUUGAUGUCAUGGGUUUUCAAGACCUCCUUGGCUGCAUCUGCAGAGGAUUCAAUAAGAAUGGGAAAUAUCCAAAGCAACAUCUAGCACCAGUCCAUCUCACAAAAAGCAAACUAUCAGAAAAAACAACUCAUAAGAAUGGGAAAAGUCAAGCUCAUGCAUUAACUCACCAAUCCAGCACCAGCAUCAUCUCGCAACAAAGCUGCAUCUUGGUAACGCUCUUCUGCUACUGCUCUACUCAGCUGGGACAUCACUCUGCCAACAGCAUCAUUUGUAGCUGCAGCAGCAAUUGCCACCUUUAGCCUAGCUGCAUCCUCAUAAUCCUCUCUAUUUACAGCCUGAUUCAACUGCGACUUCAAAACGGAGACGACACGCUCCUGCUCAUCGACUUCCUCGAAAUGCCUUCUCCAUCGAUUCCAAUCCCACUCUUCUUCACCCUU